Molecule: ribosomal RNA, 410 nt
Filed under: Verrucomicrobiota bacterium
Lineage: Bacteria; Pseudomonadati; Verrucomicrobiota
Description: Verrucomicrobia bacterium partial 16S ribosomal RNA
Rfam family: Bacterial small subunit ribosomal RNA
Source: RNAcentral
UGGGGAAUAUUGCACAAUGGACGGAAGUCUGAUGCAGCGACGCCGCGUGGGGGAUGAAGGCUUUCGGGUUGUAAACUCCUUUCAGUACAGAAGAAGCUUUAUUGUGACGGUAUGUGCAGAAGAAGCGCCGGCUAACUACGUGCCAGCAGCCGCGGUAAUACGUAGGGCGCGAGCGUUGUCCGGAAUUAUUGGGCGUAAAGGGUACGUAGGCGGUUUUUUAAGUCAGGUGUCAAAGCGUGGAGCUUAACUCCAUUAAGCACUUGAAACUGAAAGACUUGAGUGAAGGAGAGGAAAGUGGAAUUCCUAGUGUAGCGGUGAAAUGCGUAGAUAUUAGGAGGAAUACCGGUGGCGAAGGCGACUUUCUGGACUUUUACUGACGCUCAGGUACGAAAGCGUGGGGAGCAAACAGG